GCUUCAAAACUGCUGUUCAGAACUCUAUGGGUGACGUCACGGACACUACGUCCAUAUUUUUUUACAGUCUAUGUUCAGGAGCAGGCUGGUGCUAAUUAUAGCAGUGGAUAAUGCAAGCAGCUAAGGCAAGGUAGCAACUGCUGUUUUUAUGAUUUUGUUUGUUUUCUAAGUAUAAUGUUAUGUUCCUUGUUUGUUGCAGUAUGUGAUGGUUCAGCAGCGGAACUGAUGACUAUUAUAUCAGUGGAUAGUACAACCAACUAAAAAGGACCGGGGCUGAUGACUACUAUAUCAGAGGAUAGCACACACUACUAAGACAACAAAGUGUACUCAGGAUAUGUUGAGUCUUUCCCUUCGAUAAAUGUUCAACGUGUAUCGGAAGGUUUUCCCAGGCGGUUGCACUUGAGGGGCAGUGGGUGCAGUGUGGUGUUUUUGUGUAUGCAGUGGUUUGGUGUGUGGGUUUUCACAUAGUAAGUAUUUGCUGUGGUGAAUGAUUGGUUUGAAGUAUUAUUUUUUCACUCUACUUGUUCUUCAGUGUGCUGCCUGGUUUGUUUUGUUCUUUUUUAUUUUUUUAUUGUGUCUAUACUGGAGUACUUUGGUGUUUCCAAUAAAACUAUGUAAAAGCUUCAUGAAGCAGUGUUUUGAAAUCGGCCAUCACUAAAUAAGUCGUUAUUUUGUUUUUUUGGCGCACCAAA
This is a long non-coding RNA of Megalobrama amblycephala (Wuchang bream), 692 nucleotides long. RefSeq lists it as uncharacterized. The record is from RefSeq and is a predicted model, not a curated record. Lineage: Eukaryota; Metazoa; Chordata; Actinopteri; Cypriniformes; Xenocyprididae. The transcript has 3 exons.